GGAGAUAAGUAUAAAAUAUAGAUAUAUUUACGGUAGCUCGGAAGGGCCCGGGUGUACGGUCGGUUGCUCGGGAAGAGCGAGGAGGAGGAGGAAGGUAAAGAGCGCAGGGGUAAAGGAGGGUGGUUUAUGCCGUGGCACUAGGCGGUGGUCGGGCGGCCGGCUAGGGGCCGGCCGGUACCGGCGGCUGAGGCGGCGGGCGACGGGCACCCUGCUCGAGGGCCGCGUGGAGGUCCUCGCGUAGGAGAGGGCGGACGGCGAGUGGCGCGAGCAGGGGCAGCGGCGGCAGAGGGCCCGCGACGCGGCGGAGGACGCGAGGGGCCGGAAGGUGCGGGAGGAGAGGGUCGUGGCGGAGCUGCGGAAGAAGGAGGAGAGCGGCGCGGAGCGGAAGGUGGGCGAGAGGGCCGCGGAGGAGGUCCACGGGGGGAGCGGGGGCGAGCUAGGUAGAACGGGAGGGGAGUAGAGGAGGCGGAGGGGGAGGAAGGAACAGUGGCGGCUGAGCGAGGAGGCGGAGGGUCGCGAGGGGCUGGCGAGGAUGGAGUAGCGACAGCAGCAGGGUGGGAGUGGGAGGAGGAGGUCGGCCCUAAUGUGGGAGCAGCGGCAGUGGUGGUUGCCGCGGCGACAGGCGAGCAUAAGGGACCUGAGGCGGCUAGGGAGGGGUGCCACCCAUGGACCCCGGCUCGAGGGCGAUGGUAAACGCUAGGAACCGUUACGACGCCAGCGGUCACUGGCACGAGCCGAGAAACACGAGCCGGCCCCAGGCCUGCGUGAAGACCACGAACUAGAGCUCUGGUCCUUCACCCGACGAGGCGGUCAACACUACGGCGUGCCGGAAUGUUGCCGCGUGGACAAACAAGAGCUACUAGCCGACAAGAACCAGCCACCCCACCUCUCCGAGCCCCACGACCUCGCCCACCACCACACCGUCAACCUGUUGCUGCUCCGUCACCCUACCCACCUCCAUCGGCGUUACGGCGGCCUCCACAAGCUACUCAACCACCGACCAUCCGUACCGUCAAAGACCGUGAAAGUCCGACGCCUGUCUUACCCCUGAGAAACAGACAUGUUACGAAAUCUACCCUCCGACCACUACAAACUACGCCACCUAACACAUACCUGCUACUACGGUGCUCACAGACCCAAUCCUCGGCCCCUCUCGGUUUACACCAAACCCGUACAGAACCUCGGUCCGCAGCCGGAGAACGACCCUGUUGCGUCGGGCACAAGUACUCCUUUAUAGAUUGAAGUUCUAAGUUUCGGUAGUAUCGAUAGAGCCAAGAAAACCCAGUUCACAGUUACAUAAUACAGAAGGCUAUAACUUAUCCUCAACCGUCAGAUGACCUCGUAUCCGACUUCUCAACCCCUCGUCCUAACCCACACCCUCCGUUUCUCUUCCGAAGGCCGGACAGCUCAGGAGAGAGCACGGGUGGCACCGGAACAUCUUCGGCGGGGUAUCUUCACUCCCAAAGCUAAGCCGACCUACACUCGGAAUAGUACGGAAUAAAGUGGUACCUACCGUAACAUAGAACAUGUGUAUGUCAAAUAGAUUUUUACAUGAAAACGAUUCGACAAAGCACAUCCGUCGGAUUGGAAAAAUACAAGAGUGUUACCUUCUAAUACAAAAGUAACAUUUUGAUGAAAUGUUAGUUCUCUCUUC
RNAcentral lists this ribosomal RNA (1654 nucleotides) under Triticum aestivum (bread wheat). RNAcentral's name for it is "partial small subunit ribosomal RNA". The record is from RNAcentral. Lineage: Eukaryota; Viridiplantae; Streptophyta; Magnoliopsida; Poales; Poaceae.